GGGGAAUAUUGGACAAUGGGGGCAACCCUGAUCCAGCGACGCCGCGUGUGUGAAGAAGGCCUGCGGGUUGUAAAGCUCUUUUGUCAGGGAAGAAACGGUUCCGGCUAAUAUCCGGAAUCAAUGACGGUACCUGAAGAAUAAGCACCGGCUAACUACGUGCCAGCAGCCGCGGUAAUACGUAGGGUGCAAGCGUUAAUCGGAAUUACUGGGCGUAAAGCGUGCGCAGGCGGUUUUGUAAGUCUGUCGUGAAAUCCCCGGGCUCAACCUGGGAAUUGCGAUGGAGACUGCAAGGCUAGAAUCUGGCAGAGGGGGGUAGAAUUCCACGUGUAGCAGUGAAAUGCGUAGAGAUGUGGAGGAACACCGAUGGCGAAGGCAGCCCCCUGGGUCAAGAUUGACGCUCAUGCACGAAAGCGUGGGGAGCAAACAGGAUUAGAUACCCUGGUAGUCCACGCCCUAAACGAUGUCUACUAGUUGUCGGGUUUUAAUUAACUUGGUAACGCAGCUAACGCGUGAAGUAGACCGCCUGGGGAGUACGGUCGCAAGAUUAAAACUCAAAGGAAUUGACGGAAGC
RNAcentral lists this ribosomal RNA (571 nucleotides) under uncultured bacterium. Its description in RNAcentral is "bacterial SSU rRNA". It matches the Rfam family "Bacterial small subunit ribosomal RNA", at positions 356 to 920 of the family's 1533-position model. The record is from RNAcentral.